UACAGAGGGUGCAAGCGUUGUCCGGAAUCACUGGGCGUAAAGGGCGCGUAGGCGGCCCGAUAAGUAGGGGGUGAAAUCUUGCGGCUCAACCGCAAGGCUGCCUUCUAGACUGUCGGGCUUGAGCACAGUAGAGGCAGGUGGAAUUCCCGGUGUAGCGGUGGAAUGCGUAGAGAUCGGGAAGAACAUCGGUGGCGAAGGCGAGUCUCUGGCACGCAUCUGACGCUGAACCACGAAAGCCAGGGGAGCGAACGGG
RNAcentral lists this ribosomal RNA (253 nucleotides) under uncultured bacterium. Its description in RNAcentral is "partial 16S ribosomal RNA". It matches the Rfam family "Bacterial small subunit ribosomal RNA", at positions 524 to 776 of the family's 1533-position model. The record is from RNAcentral.